This 322-nucleotide ribosomal RNA is filed under the name uncultured eukaryote. RNAcentral's name for it is "SSU rRNA". It matches the Rfam family "Eukaryotic small subunit ribosomal RNA", at positions 1461 to 1785 of the family's 1831-position model. The record is from RNAcentral.
UCUGUGAUGCCCUUAGAUGUCCUGGGCCGCAUGCGCGCUACACUGACACAUGCAGCGAGUCUUCCUUGUCCGAAAGGUCUGGGUAAUCUUGUAAAUGUGUGUCGUGAUAGGGAUAGAUUAUUGCAAUUAUUAAUCUUGAACGAGGAAUUCCUAGUAGAUGCGGGUCAUCAGCUCGCGUUGAUUACGUCCCUGCCCUUUGUACACACCGCCCGUCGCACCUACCGAUUGAAUGAUCCGGUGAAUUUUUCGGACCGUAGUUGGGACACUUUCGGGUGACUCGAUCGUGGGAAGUUAUUUAAACCUUAUCAUUUAGAGGAAGGUG